Molecule: ribosomal RNA, 465 nt
Filed under: uncultured bacterium
Lineage: Bacteria
Description: partial 16S ribosomal RNA
Rfam family: Bacterial small subunit ribosomal RNA
Source: RNAcentral
GACGAACGCUGGCGGCGUGCUUAACACAUGCAAGUCGAACGGAAAGGCCCUGCUUGCAGGGUACUCGAGUGGCGAACGGGUGAGUAACACGUGGGUGAUCUGCCCUGCACUUCGGGAUAAGCCUGGGAAACUGGGUCUAAUACCGGAUAGGAGCCAUUUUUAGUGUGAUGGUUGGAAAGUUUUUUCGGUGUAGGAUGAGCUCGCGGCCUAUCAGCUUGUUGGUGGGGUAAUGGCCUACCAAGGCGGCGACGGGUAGCCGGCCUGAGAGGGUGGACGGCCACAUUGGGACUGAGAGGCGGCCCAGACUCCUACGGGAGGCAGCAGGGGGGAAUAUUGCACAAGGGGCGCAAGCCUGAUGCAGCGAGGCCGCGUGGGGGAUGACGGCCUUCGGGUUGUAAACUCCUUUCGCUAGGGACGAAGCUUUUUGUGACGGUACCUAGAUAAGAAGCACCGGCUAACUACGUG